GACAGAGGGUGCAAACGUUGUUCGGAAUUACUGGGCGUAAAGCGUGUGUAGGCGGCCGAGAAAGUCGGGUGUGAAAGCCCUGGGCUCAACCCAGGAAGUGCACUCGAAACUGCCCGGCUAGAGUAUCGGAGAGGUUGGUGGAAUUCUCGGUGUAGAGGUGAAAUUCGUAGAUAUCGAGAGGAACACCGGCGGCGAAGGCGGCCAACUGGACGAAUACUGACGCUGAGGCGCGAAAGCGUGGGUAGCAAACAGG
Molecule: ribosomal RNA, 253 nt
Filed under: uncultured bacterium
Lineage: Bacteria
Description: partial 16S ribosomal RNA
Rfam family: Bacterial small subunit ribosomal RNA
Source: RNAcentral